UUCGGACUGCAGUCUGCAACUCGACUGCACGAAGCUGGAAUCGCUAGUAAUCGCGGAUCAGCACGCCGCGGUGAAUACGUUCCCGGGCCUUGUACACACCGCCCGUCACACCAUGGAAGUCCUGCAAUGCCCGAAGCCGGUGGCCUAACCACUUAUGUGGAAGGAGCCGUCUAAGGCAGGGCAGAUGACUGGGGUGAAGUCGUAACAAGGUAGC
RNAcentral lists this ribosomal RNA (214 nucleotides) under uncultured bacterium. RNAcentral's name for it is "partial 16S ribosomal RNA". It matches the Rfam family "Bacterial small subunit ribosomal RNA", at positions 1292 to 1500 of the family's 1533-position model. The record is from RNAcentral.